Punica granatum (pomegranate) is the source of this 1551-nucleotide non-coding RNA. The record is from RefSeq and is a predicted model, not a curated record. Lineage: Eukaryota; Viridiplantae; Streptophyta; Magnoliopsida; Myrtales; Lythraceae.
GUCAGCCGAGCAGCACAGCCUAGCCACACACUUCCUUAGGCCGAUCGGAGUUCAUCUCGACUUCGAUUUGACAAAUCAAAGUCUGUCCAAGACAUCCUUGAAGUAGUCUUUUCCUUCUGUGACGAUUAUGUUUGAGUUUGGUGACCUAAAUCAGAGUGUACGAGUCGAGAGGAGCCUAUACUCAGUGGUGACACGCUCGUGUGGACGAGUUAGAGGCCGGACACUUGGAUGGUUGUUUUGAUCGAUCGAUACGACUUGAAUCGACGAGGUUGAAGAUAUUAGUUUGUCCAAGGAAAAUCAUGUGCGACUCAAAGAUUAUCUCAGGACCAACGAAGAUCCUAGGAUCGAUUUCGAAGUCAGGGUACUUUGUGCUGGGCUGUGGCAAUGAAUACAGAUGGUUAGCUGUAUGGAGUCAUUCUGUGGAUUUUAUGGAGAGGAAUGGCCACAUAAGAGGCUGAGAUGGUUGCACUCCUUGGGGAGCUGCAAGGCUACCGCUUAUUUCAAGUCCGCAACUGUCGAGAUGCUAGUAACCACGAGCUAGGUUUAUGAAACUCGUCAUUGUGUUGUUGGCUCAUCUCGUGAGCUAAAACUGUUUUUGUUUUAUUUGUUUGUAGGUGGUUGUUCUCAUGCUAUUUAACUCGUCUGAUACACUAACAUAUUCAUAUAUAAAAUCACAAUUAAAUCUGUGUGAUAAUUAGAUCGUUAGACUUCUACACUCGUUAUCGUCUGGAGACUAUAAGGUUCUUGUGAAGAUUCCAGAGUCAAAUUCCAUUUCCUACAAUGACAACUUCUUAUUCAAUGGAAAUUUCACUCCCACUGCGAGGAGAAUCAAGGUAUGCUUUGCACAAAGAGUGACAAGGAAGGUCCUAGUUCUUUCGUCACUGUUUAUCGUUGAUUAGGCUGGAAUCUCAUCAGAAGAUAAAAACUUGCAUCGCCAGAUUCAUCUACCUUCUUGUGUGGACGAGAAUCUAAAUGAGGAAAAAAAAAGUCACUGAGGAGAUUUCUAAGGACCGAACAAUGGCUAUCGGCGCCAUGAUCGUGCGACUCAUGAAGAGUUGCAAGGUGUUGACUUAUGAGCGAAUAGUCAGUGACUACUCUGAGUACUUGGGACGCAUGUGCGAGCGAGAUGUCGGAGCCAUACAUAGAAGAAUAGAAAGCUUGAUGGAUCGAGAGUACCUCGAGAGAGAUGCCCAUGACCCAGAACUAGUCAAGUACGUGGCAUAAGAUUGGGACAGCGCUGAGGAUUGAUCUGCAUCACCAACUCCAACUGAUUUUGACUAGAGAGCGUAUCUUGACAAAACUACUAUUUACGAAGAUCGCUGUUUUCUACCAGCGAUGUGAAGACUUAUCUAACUACAUCAGUCUUCUAGCUGCUUUUGUAUAUCUUUUGUCAUAUGGGUUUUGUUACAAGUACUCUGAAUUUGCCACUUAUCCGAUUACUGAGAUGCUAUUGGGUGGGGCGGGAAUGUUUGAAGGACUUGAAACUUUAGCUAGUAAGUCCAAAUUUGCUUUGUACAUAAUAGUUGUAAUUGUUCAUUUUGCUCUCAUGCA